This 500-nucleotide ribosomal RNA is filed under the name uncultured Bacilli bacterium. RNAcentral describes it as "bacterial SSU rRNA". It matches the Rfam family "Bacterial small subunit ribosomal RNA", at positions 264 to 756 of the family's 1533-position model. The record is from RNAcentral. Lineage: Bacteria; Bacillati; Bacillota; Bacilli.
CUUACCAAGGCAACGAUGCAUAGCCGACCUGAGAGGGUGAUCGGCCACACUGGAACUGAGACACGGUCCAGACUCCUACGGGAGGCAGCAGUAGGGAAUCUUCCGCAAUGGGCGAAAGCCUGACGGAGCAACGCCGCGUGAGUGAUGAAGGUCUUCGGAUCGUAAAACUCUGUUAUUAGGGAAGAACAUAUGUGUAAGUAACUGUGCACAUCUUGACGGUACCUAAUCAGAAAGCCACGGCUAACUACGUGCCAGCAGCCGCGGUAAUACGUAGGUGGCAAGCGUUAUCCGGAAUUAUUGGGCGUAAAGCGCGCGUAGGCGGUUUUUUAAGUCUGAUGUGAAAGCCCACGGCUCAACCGUGGAGGGUCAUUGGAAACUGGAAAACUUGAGUGCAGAAGAGGAGAGUGGAAUUCCAUGUGUAGCGGUGAAAUGCGCAGAGAUAUGGAGGAACACCAGUGGCGAAGGCGACUUUCUGGUCUGUAACUGACGCUGAUGUGCGA